GCCAGACUCCUACGGGAGGCAGCAGUGAGGAAUAUUGGUCAAUGGGCGGGAGCCUGAACCAGCCAAGCCGCGUGAGGGAAGAAGGUACAGCGUAUCGUAAACCUCUUUUGUCAGGGAACAAAGGCGGGGACUAGUCCCCGGAUGAGGGUACCUGAAGAAAAAGCAUCGGCUAACUCCGUGCCAGCAGCCGCGGUAAUACGUAGGGAGCGAGCGUUGUCCGGAAUUACUGGGUGUAAAGGGAGCGUAGGCGGGACUGCAAGUUGGGUGUCAAAUCUACCGGCUCAACCGGUAGCCGCACUCAAAACUGCAGUUCUUGAGUGAAGUAGAGGCAGGCGGAAUUCCUAGUGUAGCGGUGAAAUGCGUAGAUAUUAGGAGGAACACCAGUGGCGAAGGCGGCCUGCUGGACGACAACUGACGGUGAGGCGCGAAAGCGUGGGGAGCAAACAGGAUUAGAUACCCGCGUA
RNAcentral lists this ribosomal RNA (464 nucleotides) under uncultured bacterium. Its description in RNAcentral is "bacterial SSU rRNA". It matches the Rfam family "Bacterial small subunit ribosomal RNA", at positions 330 to 792 of the family's 1533-position model. The record is from RNAcentral.